CCAUGGUUCCGAGAGGUGUAUGGUAUCAGGUCACCCUCUAAUCGGAAACACGGGUUCCGAUAUCCGUUAUGGGUGGCACCCUCUUGUGAAUUAUUCAACAAUGGACGAAAGUUCUAUCGCUUCCACGGCGAUUGGAAGGAUGAAGCGUCUUCGGGAUGUUAUCUCCCUGUUCAUCGGGAAGAAAGAACAUGACGGUGAUCACCGGCAGUGGUUACUACUACCCGAUGAGGAAGAGACAGCUAAGCUCGGUGCCAGCAGCCGCGGUAAUACGAAGGUCCUAAGCGUUGUUCCGAAUCGCUGGGCGUACACGGGAGCGUAGGCGGCGCUGGUAUAGUCAGAUGUGAAAUCCCCGGGGCUCAAACUCCCGUAUCUGCAUCCGAUACUUCCCGUGCUUGAGGGUUGGAGAGGUAGCUUGAAAUUCUCGGUGUAGCAGUGAUAUGCGUGCAUAUAGAGAGGAACACUCGUGGCGAAGGCGAGCUACUGGACAACAUCUGACGCUGAGGCUCGAAGGCUAGGCGAGCAAAAGGGAUUAGAUACCCCUGUAGUCCUAGCAGUAAACGGUGUGCGCUUGGUGUGAGGGGAUUCGACCCCCCUUGUGCCGGAGCUAACGCGUUAAGCGCACCGCCUGGGAAGUACGGCCGCAAGGCUAAAACUCAAAGAAAUUGACGGGGACCCGCACAAGCGGUGGAGUAUGUGGCUUAAUUCGAUGCAACGCGAAGAACCUUACCAAGGCUUGACAUGGAUUUCUAAGCACGUGAAAGCGUGUGACCCUUCGGGGGACUUCCACAGGUGCUGCAUGGCCGUCGUCAGCUCGUGUCGUGAGAUGUUGGGUUAAGUCCCGCAACGAGCGCAACCCCUGUGAACAGUUGCCAGCACGUUAAGGUGGGGACUCUGUUCAGACUGCCCAGAUCAACUGGGAGGAAGGUGGGGACGACGUCAGGUCAGUAUGGCCCUUACGCCUUGGGCUGCACACGUACUACAAUGCCCAGCACAAUGAGAACCGAGACCGCGAGGUGGAGGAAAUCUAUAAAACUGGGCCCAGUUCGGAUUGGAGGCUGCAACUCGCCUCCAUGAAGCCGGAAUCGCUAGUAAUGCUGCAUCAGCUACGGCAGCGUGAAUACGUUCCCGGGUCUUGUACAGCACCGCCCGUCACAUCAUGGAAGCCGGUAGCACCCGAAGUAUCGUACGAUCCUAAGGGGAAAAGCUGAAGGGU
This 1213-nucleotide ribosomal RNA is filed under the name uncultured bacterium. RNAcentral describes it as "partial 16S ribosomal RNA". It matches the Rfam family "Bacterial small subunit ribosomal RNA", at positions 268 to 1463 of the family's 1533-position model. The record is from RNAcentral.